Molecule: ribosomal RNA, 253 nt
Filed under: uncultured bacterium
Lineage: Bacteria
Description: partial 16S ribosomal RNA
Rfam family: Bacterial small subunit ribosomal RNA
Source: RNAcentral
UACGAAGGGGGCUAGCGUUGCUCGGAAUCACUGGGCGUAAAGCGCACGUAGGCGGCUUGUUAAGUCAGGGGUGAAAUCCUGGAGCUCAACUCCAGAACUGCCUUUGAUACUGGCGAGCUUGAGUUCGGGAGAGGUGAGUGGAACUGCGAGUGUAGAGGUGAAAUUCGUAGAUAUUCGCAAGAACACCAGUGGCGAAGGCGGCUUUCUGGACGACAACUGACGCUGAGACGCGAAAGCGUGGGGAGCAAACAGG